UAAUACGGAGGGUGCAAGCGUUAAUCGGAAUUACUGGGCGUAAAGCGCACGCAGGCGGUUUGUUAAGUCAGAUGUGAAAUCCCCGGGCUCAACCUGGGAACUGCAUUUGAAACUGGCAAGCUAGAGUCUCGUAGAGGGGGGUAGAAUUCCAGGUGUAGCGGUGAAAUGCGUAGAGAUCUGGAGGAAUACCGGUGGCGAAGGCGGCCCCCUGGACGAAGACUGACGCUCAGGUGCGAAAGCGUGGGGAGUAAACAGGAUUAGAUACCCUGGUAGUCCACGCUGUAAACGAUGUCGAUUUGGAGGUUGUGCCCUUGAGGCGUGGCUUCCGGAGCUAACGCGUUAAAUCGACCGCCUGGGGAGUACGGCCGCAAGGUUA
RNAcentral lists this ribosomal RNA (376 nucleotides) under uncultured Serratia sp. Its description in RNAcentral is "bacterial SSU rRNA". It matches the Rfam family "Bacterial small subunit ribosomal RNA", at positions 521 to 896 of the family's 1533-position model. The record is from RNAcentral. Lineage: Bacteria; Pseudomonadati; Pseudomonadota; Gammaproteobacteria; Enterobacterales; Yersiniaceae.